UACGGAGGAUGCGAGCGUUAUCCGGAUUUAUUGGGUUUAAAGGGUGCGUAGGCGGGCUUUUAAGUCAGCGGUAAAAAUUCGGGGCUCAACCCCGUCCGGCCGUUGAAACUGGGGGCCUUGAGUGGGAGAAGAAGGCGGAAUGCGUGGUGUAGCGGUGAAAUGCAUAGAUAUCACGCAGAACCCCGAUUGCGAAGGCAGCCUUCCGGCGCCCUACUGACGCUGAGGCACGAAAGUGCGGGGAUCGAACAGG
RNAcentral lists this ribosomal RNA (250 nucleotides) under uncultured bacterium. RNAcentral's name for it is "partial 16S ribosomal RNA". It matches the Rfam family "Bacterial small subunit ribosomal RNA", at positions 524 to 776 of the family's 1533-position model. The record is from RNAcentral.